Non-coding RNA from Poecilia reticulata (guppy), 2495 nucleotides. The record is from RefSeq and is a predicted model, not a curated record. NCBI's taxonomy places the organism in Eukaryota, Metazoa, Chordata, Actinopteri, Cyprinodontiformes, Poeciliidae.
UUAAAUAGACCGGUUUAUUAGGUCCAGUCAGACGUUUGGACACUCAGUUUGGAAAACAAAGUCUCAUCGGUUUUGAACAUUUUUGAUGAUUCAUAUGAAAGAACUGUACAAAACUGAAUUUAAAAAAGAAAAUUUUACAUUAUGUUUAGAGUUCCUAAUUGCACCUUCUAAACCCUUUGAAAGGUUUAUUGCAGUUUAUUUUUACAUCUUUGAUCAAGGUAGUCAGCCUAUUGUUUUUGUCCAUUUCAGUUUAUUCUACAAUGGCUGAUGUACUUCUAAUUGCACUGAGUGAAUAAAUGAAAGUUGUUUUCACAUGUUUGACCUAGCUUGUGAUGUUGAUGUAUCUACGUGUGGUGUUCUGGUGCAGAGUUAUCAAAUAAAUUCAUAAUUCAGUACAUAUAUGUCUGUGUUUCAAAAAAAGAAACAUUUUAAGUCAAUUGUUUUUCUACAUCGGCUCAGUAUCGGUUGAUGCUAACCCUCAGAUAUCGGUAUUGAAAGCGAAAAAAGUGGAUCGGUGCUUCCUUCCACCCUACAUGCCAAUUGGUGCCGUGCUGUUGGGUUAUUGUGUUCCCCAAAUGAACUUCCGUCCUUGUGGCCUAUUCCAACCACACCCAAGCAAUUGACACACUGUUUUUCAUCUUUCAAUGUAGUAUAUUGAAAAAUGUGCGUUACAUAGGUCUAACCCAGAGGACAUGAAAGAAAUUCUGAGGGACGUUAAGGUCGUGUCGUUUCUUUAAGGAACGUCUGGUGGUUUUGACAGAACUGGUUCUGAAUAUUUAGCGCUUAUUGGGAUCAAAGGUGUGGAAUUGCUAGCGUUCCACAGCAUCAGGACAAACACCUCAGCUUUACCACAAACUUUUGUUUUGUUUAGUUAUUUAUAACAAAAAGCGAAAAGGGGUCCAACACAUCAGCUUACAAGUAGGUCUUGUCACAGAAAGCAAUAAAUCAGUUAAUCGCACGAUCAAUUAAAACAAACUCGAUCAUUUCUGUUUGCAUGAUAUAUUGUUUCUCUUCACUCUUUUAAUGAGAAAAAUCUUCAGCCUGAUGCUUUGGUCUUAAAUAGACCCUUUUUAGAAGGACAGGGUCUUCUUUAUUUGUUGUUUUGUUUACUUACUUUAGAUAUUUAAAUUGUCCUCCAGUUCAAGGGCUAAAUGCUCAUUAGAAUUUGAAGUUUAUCGAUCUUUAAGAAUGUUUUUGUAUUGUUUUUCCUUUACCAUUACAUUACUUGAAAAUGGUCUCAAAACAACGAUGUCGUUUAUCGCGAUAACUUCAGUUUAUCGUCCAACACAAUUUGUCAUCUUGACAGGACUGGUCAGAGGGUUAAGACAUCCGAUUCAAAUACAGCUACACUGCGUCUUUUUAAACUCUGUAUGUAAAUAUCUGGUUUCGACAGCACAAAGGUCAGAGGACGUGUUACACAAGCCGGGCUGCGGCUCCCCUGCGCGGGGCCUCAGGCGCAGGAACGGCCCCACAACAUUUACAUUUACGGCCUCGGUUCAGCUGGACGAGCCGAGGAUGGAAAAACCGAGCGGAAAGAGGGCGAGCGGUUGUGCUGUGAGUGCAGCCAGAAGAUGCAGGGGUCGGGGAACCUCAGAGGCCCGCCGAGGCCGUCACCGCCCUGCCUCUGCUCCUCCAGCCAGCGGCUGUGAGGAACACCCGUGUUGUUGUGAAUCUGAAGACUUCUGCGAACAAAAGCAGGGAAAGAGGCUCUUCCUCUUCGCCACCAGCAGGUUCCUGCUGCACCGAUCCUAUUCUUGGAGCUCCCGCAUCCCUUCAAAGUGUUUAUCGCCUCCUCUCUGCACAUCUGUGUGAUGUGGCCGGCGUCUGCGGGGCGUGACCGCCCAGAGCCGGCGCCUGUUGGCGUGCGUGUUUGUCAAGACACACCACAGACACGCUCCGCUAUAAAUAUCAACUCUAGCGAUCUCCUGCUUUGCGUUCUUCCAGCAAAACAUCUGCAAGAGGCAAGAAUCAGGACACGGCGUCAACAGAGCUGCUGCGUUCGAGCCAAUUAGUACGUUAGACCUGCCAAGUUUCCCGCCAAAUAAUCUGCCGUGUGGCGGGUCGAUGGCGCGGCGUGGAAUCAGGUGGAAGAAAAAAAAAAAAAAACAAACAGUUUCUUGGUUAUUGAAUUUGAAGAGUGUAGGAUAUGAGCUCCAGCGCUUUGUUCCUGAAGUCCACCACCGUGUAGGUCCGCACCAACGGAUCCACGAAGUCCAACAUGUGGUGUGCGCACUGGGCGCGCUCCUCGGCACUCACCUUAUUUGUGAUGAUGUCCAGACCCUUGUACACCUGCAAGGGUCAGACAUGAGUAAAUAUUAAAAUACGGAGUAGUUGGUCUGAUUCCAGUUCCGUUCCUCUUGACAACGUUCGGCGUCGGGCAUUGAUCGUAUCGUUUAUCAUUCAUCGCGAUACAUUUCUUACCAGGAUUAUUUCUUGAUUUAUCGUUGUCAUCACAAAUUCCAAUUAAUGAUGUUUAAAAUAAAACCUGAAACUGC